AGAGAUGAUGUUGGUCUGAUG
RNAcentral lists this microRNA (21 nucleotides) under Gallus gallus (chicken). Its description in RNAcentral is "gga-miR-1721". The record is from miRBase by way of RNAcentral. Lineage: Eukaryota; Metazoa; Chordata; Aves; Galliformes; Phasianidae.